CAUGUGAACAUUCUUUGUGGAGAGAAACAGGGGAUUGAUUUGAACAGGCGUCUAAGUGAGACUGUAAAAAUGAACAGCACUCACGUACUCACCCUUAUUCUUCUCCAAGGGGCAGGUCAAUCAUAAUCCCGACGAUCGAGUUGGCCCUUUUUCCCCCUUGUCAAAACAGAAGCGUGGACACAACGAGACAAACAUGACGAAGACGACAAUGGUCUACAAAGGGUUGUCAUUGCAAAAGCAUAAGGAGUGUGCUUACUUCCGAGCUCUAUUGCGCUUUAACCACCAGUCCAACUUUUGACCAUCUUCAAAACUGGAUUUUGGGCCACUUCAAAUAAGGAAAGGAAGAUUCUGCUAUGGUCGUUAUGACGUUGAGCGUACGCAUGAAUUGUCUUCCUAGCUAUUUACAGAUAGGGUCAAUGCCGCGAUAUCCUAAGCGUCGGAGGUGCUAUCUUGGUCCUUUGCACCUCCUUCGCCGGAUAUCUGGCCAUGCCUCAGGUUUAUCCCGAUGGUCAGAG
Tigriopus californicus is the source of this 515-nucleotide long non-coding RNA. RefSeq lists it as uncharacterized. The transcript is spliced from 3 exons. Lineage: Eukaryota; Metazoa; Arthropoda; Copepoda; Harpacticoida; Harpacticidae. The record is from RefSeq and is a predicted model, not a curated record.